This 367-nucleotide ribosomal RNA is filed under the name uncultured bacterium. Its description in RNAcentral is "bacterial SSU rRNA". It matches the Rfam family "Bacterial small subunit ribosomal RNA", at positions 100 to 485 of the family's 1533-position model. The record is from RNAcentral.
GAACGGUUGAGUAACACGUAGGCAACCUGCCCCGAAGUCGGGAAUAACGCAUCGAAAGGUGCGCUAAUACCGGAUGUGGACGCCGAUCGCCUGGUCGGUGCUCUAAAGGUGCAAAUCGCUUCGGGAUGGGCCUGCGGCCUAUCAGCUAGUUGGUGGGGUAACGGCCUACCAAGGCGACGACGGGUAGCUGGUCUGAGAGGAUGGUCAGCCAGACAGGGACUGAGACACGGCCCUGACUCCUUUGGGGGGCAGCAAUGAGGGAUAUUGCACAAUGGGGGCAACCCUGAUGCAGCGACGCCGCGUGGGUGACGAAGUCCUUCGGGAUGUAAAGCCCUUUUGCCGGGAAGAGAGGGACGGUACCCGGCGA